GACGAACGCUGGCGGCGUGCUUAACACAUGCAAGUCGAACGGUAAGGCCCUUCGGGGUACACGAGUGGUGAACGGGUGAGUAACACGUGGGUGAUCUGCCCUGCACUUCGGGAUAAGCCUGGGAAACUGGGUCUAAUACCGGAUAGGACCACUGCCUGCAUGGGUGGUGGUGGAAAGCUUUUGCGGUGUGGGAUGGGCCCGCGGCCUAUCAGCUUGUUGGUGGGGUGAUGGCCUACCAAGGCGAGGACGGGUAGCCGGCCUGAGAGGGUGACCGGCCACACUGGGACUGAGAUACGGCCCAGACUCCUACGGGAGGCAGCAGUGGGGAAUAUUGCACAAUGGGCGCAAGCCUGAUGCAGCGACGCCGCGUGAGGGAUGACGGCCUUCGGGUUGUAAACCUCUUUCAGCACCGACGAAGCGCAAGUGACGGUAGGUGCAGAAGAAGGACCGGCCAACUACGUGCCAGCCGCCGCAGUAA
RNAcentral lists this ribosomal RNA (478 nucleotides) under uncultured bacterium. RNAcentral describes it as "partial 16S ribosomal RNA". It matches the Rfam family "Bacterial small subunit ribosomal RNA", at positions 28 to 523 of the family's 1533-position model. The record is from RNAcentral.